RNAcentral lists this long non-coding RNA (3339 nucleotides) under Homo sapiens (human). Its description in RNAcentral is "HSALNT0053678". Lineage: Eukaryota; Metazoa; Chordata; Mammalia; Primates; Hominidae. The record is from RNAcentral.
CUGAGCUUGUUUUCCUUCAACUAGAUGGUCAGCUAGAUGGUCCCAUCUGGGGGUGAUGGGAGUGACAGAUCAUCAGGCAUUAGAUUCUUAUAAGGAGUACCCAACCUAGAUCCCUUACAUGCAUUCACAGUUCACAGUAGGGUUCAUGCUCCUAUGAGAAUCUAAUGCCCCACUAAUCUGAAAGGAAGUGGAGCUCAGGCAGUAAUGCAAGUGAUGGGGAGUGGCUGUAAACACAGUUGAAGCUUCUCUUGGUUGCCUGCUGCUCACCUCCUGCUGUGCAGCCUGGUCCUAAUAGGCCACGGACCAGUACCUGUCUGUGGUCCCGGGAUUGGGGACCCCUGCUCUAGAAGCUGGAAAAGGUAAGGAAACAGAUUCUCUCCUUGAGCCUCCAGAAAGGAACACAGCCCUGUGGAUGCUUUGAUUUUAGUCCCAUGAGAUCCGUUGUGGACUUCUUAACUCCAGCACUAUAAGAUGAUGGAUUCAUGUUGCUGUGUUCAUUUGUUACAGCAGCAGUAAGAAACUUAUCCAGCUUGGAAGUUCAGGGGGCUAUUGGGGAUUUAAAUUGGGAGCAAGGAACAGAGGUAGGGAGACUUGGUCAAUUGCUCUUUUAGAGAUCUUGCCCCUGGGAUGUGGGGAGCAGGACAGAUGCUUUGAAAAAGGGGGCUCUGACCGGGCGCCUGUAAUCCCAGCACUUUGGGAGGCCAAGGCGGGCAGAUCACGAGGUCAGGAGUUUGAGACAAGCCUGGCUAACAUAGCGAAACCCCGUCUCUAUUAAAAAUACAAAAAAAAUUAGUCAGGCACGGUGGCGGGAGCCUGUAGUCCCAGCUACUCGGGAGGCUGAGGAAGGAGAAUGGCGUGAACCCGGGAGAUGGAGCUUGCAGUGAGCCGAGAUUAUGCCACUGCAGUCCGGCCUGGGUGAAAGAGCGAGACUCUGUCUCAAAAAAAAAAAAAAAAAAAAAAGAAAAAAGAAAAAGGGGGCUCUGCCAAACAGCCCUAGGUGAGGGAGGAGCUGGGCCCUGGGGAGCUGAGAGAAAUGAGGGUAAAGAAUGUGCGUUUGUAGAGAAUAAAGAAUAAGAAGGUCUUGGCCACCUCAUGGAGGGUGGGGACGAGAGGCAGGAGAGGAGGAGAAAGGCACGCACCGUAUCCAGGGCCCGCUAUGUCCUCAGUUCAUAGAGUCUUUAUGUCUCAUUUCACAGACAAGGAAAUAGAGGCUUAGAAGCAGAAAUCAAGUGACAAGCUCAGGCCACAGGGCUGAACAACGAUGAUGUGAAUAUUCAAGCUCCUGUUGGUUUGGAGAGGCAGAUACGGUCCUGCCAAGAGCAUCAGCUCCACAGGUAGUGUCAAAACAUUAUGGGUUUGUGUGGUGGACACAGAGCUGCACUGCCCAGCUCCCCUUCAGGAAGGCACAGUGGCCAGCUGCGGGCGUGCAGUCAGCUGCUGGUUGUAAGCUCUUUCCUGUGUACCUUGCCCAAGGUUACACCCCCAGGGAGUCUGUAUCCAACCCCUUAGGAGCCAGGGUGUGAGAGUCUGGCCACUUGGACCAAAUGUGGAUACUGCCAGGCGAGCCUGCUCCAGGCCCUUGGCUGACCAUGGCUGUGUGGGGCCUGAGUCACAGAUUGGCGUCUUCCUCAGCUCAUCCUGCCCCGCCAGGAUUGACCCCUAUUAAACUCAGCCUCUGCUUCGAGGAACCUAACCUGCAAGAGUAGCAGAGCAAGUCUUUGGAUAGAUAAGACAGUCUUUGGAGAGAAGGAGGCCUCAGUGGAGGGCUGAGGGGGCUAUGCUUUGCAUUCUAGGUAAUGUUUUCUCCAAGCUGCUUUUAUUUUUGGUACAGAAAAAUGAGACAGGGUCCUCCCCAUGUUUAAAGCUUCUUUUGGUUUUCAUUUUCUCUGCUUUGGAGUUGAGAUGUGGGUGAUUGCAUGUGUCUGGCUGAGUGAGAAGCAGUGCUCCUGAGCCUGAUGGCCAGGAAUUCCUGGGAACUUGGUGUCCUUCUCCUCUGGCUGAGCCACGCCCAGGUUCAUCUUCAAAUCUGGCUGGCUGUGCAUCUCACCUCCCUCACUCUCCAGCCCCCAACUGCCUGCAUGUCAUACUGAAAGCAGCAGAGGGCUGGCAGAGGAUACCACGUGGCUGCCUGAUUCAUUUCCAAGAGGGAAACCGACAUUAUCCAUUCAAAGGGCAGAGGGAGCCAUUGUUUACAGGAGCCUUUCCUCCUCCAUCCUGGCUUCACCUUCUGGGAAAAGUGGGGACGCUCCACCUGCGCAGCAGCUUGUGGUAGGGUGGAGGGGGCUUGGGAGCCACAGUGGACCCCCCACAAGCCCUCUACCAAGGACCACGUGACAACAGGGAUAUGCACAUUAACCCAAAUUAUUUGUCUACUUCAAUCCCUGAACACUUUGUGUAUCAGAAAUUCUCUUAAAGAUAAAGUGAGGUCUUUUUAUUAACAGAGGUCAGAAUGCAGGAGAGAAGAGGGAUGGGGAGCCAGUCAGAGAAAGGAGCGCAGGCCUUCUCUACUCAGCCCAACCUGCAGGCUCCUCAGUGAUCCCGGUUAUACCGCCUGUAUAUGCGUAUGCAGUCUUGUGCUAGGAAGUGGCUGAAGCCUCUGUUCUGUAGUCUCUGCUGAUUUCUGUGUUGUAAACAUUUCCCCCACAGCUGAUAUCAGGCUAUCCAGGAGACGUCACUGAGCACAGAGUAAGGAGGAGCUGGGCAGUAGCCCCCAUCAGGGAGGAUUCCACCAUCAAGACACAAUAGAUACCAGACCCUUAAGAGCAUAGAAGACAGUAAGACGCAGUAAAAUAAUUAAGAAGUGAUGAGUUUGGGUAUUUAUUACCUUUGUUUUUAAUAUAAUUUAUUUAAUUGUAAGUUUAUGAAAUUUAAUUUUACAAUGGCUGUGUUUAACCACUGGUUCACAACGUUUCUGAUCAUUUAAUAAGUGACUUUCACGGGCCAGUGAUGAGCCUACGGCACUGCACUCCAGCCACUCAGCAACUCCAUGUCCCCUCAUAUCUAUCAUCCUAAAUGCCACAAGGGGUGAGUCUGUGGGCUCAGCUACAGUGUGGCUUCCCUUACCUCCACCCUCUGCUCCCAGCCUACCCUCUCUCUCGCAGUGUCUCCGAGGGAACUGCAGAUGAACUUUACUUCCUGGAGGGAGUGAGCAUAAUGUAGUGGAAAGGGUUUUUCAAGUCUGCCAUUCACUUAGAAUGACGUUGGGUGAGUUACUUAACUAGUCUGAGCCUUGGUCUCUCAAUCUCUAAAAUGGGGUAAUAGGAGUUACUUCAUAGGGUUACUAUGCUUUUGAUAGGGAUUGUUAACUAUAUCCCAAUAUCUAUGCCUCCCCCACCCCCC